CAAUAGAUAUCCUUGAGAUAGUGAUACAUCUUUGUUGAGCAUGGGUGAGCUGAAUACCUGGAAUGAUGAGCCUUCGCCCUUACCCUCUCCCGAAGAUUACCCACAUCUGGGACACAUAACCUUUCGUGGCACUGUAGCACACCACCAUUGCUUCCGAGUGAAAAUGCUAAAAUUUUGUUACCUAGAGGUGCCUCCUUCAAUUGUGCCAGUGCUGGAUCAAUAAACUGCUUUUCUUUAACCUCUGCCACAAACGACGAUUCUGCUGUAUUGUGCACCAUAAGUUCCUCCUCAUUCGAGGCCUAGAUACAAACCCCAAGGUUGGCUAACUGAUGUACCUCCCGAGCUAGGAACCUCUGAUCCCCUCUCAAGUGAGCCAAACUACCCAUGGAUUUCCGACUGAGGGCGUCGGCCAUCACGUUCGCCUUCCAUGGAUGCUACAAGAUGUCCAUAUUCCUUAAGCAAUUCUAACCAUCUCCGCUGCCUCAAA
RNAcentral lists this long non-coding RNA (487 nucleotides) under Nicotiana benthamiana. RNAcentral's name for it is "long non-coding RNA (NBEN_LNC031883)". Lineage: Eukaryota; Viridiplantae; Streptophyta; Magnoliopsida; Solanales; Solanaceae. The record is from RNAcentral.